This 235-nucleotide ribosomal RNA is filed under the name uncultured bacterium. Its description in RNAcentral is "partial 16S ribosomal RNA". It matches the Rfam family "Bacterial small subunit ribosomal RNA", at positions 96 to 334 of the family's 1533-position model. The record is from RNAcentral.
UGGCGGACGGGUGAGUAAUGUUUGGGAAACUGCCCGAUGGAGGGGGAUAACUACUGGAAACGGUAGCUAAUACCGCAUAACGUCGCAAGACCAAAGAGGGGGACCUUCGGGCCUCUUGCCAUCGGAUGUGCCCAGAUGGGAUUAGCUAGUAGGUGGGGUAACGGCUCACCUAGGCGACGAUCCCUAGCUGGUCUGAGAGGAUGACCAGCCACACUGGAACUGAGACACGGUCCAG